This 77-nucleotide transfer RNA is filed under the name Candidatus Peregrinibacteria bacterium CG2_30_44_17. RNAcentral describes it as "tRNA-His". It matches the Rfam family "tRNA". Rfam says of the family: Transfer RNA (tRNA) molecules are approximately 80 nucleotides in length. Lineage: Bacteria; Candidatus Peregrinibacteriota. RNAcentral also lists the same sequence under 4 other names. The record is from RNAcentral.
GUGACUGUAGCUCAGUUGGUUAGAGCGUCCGGUUGUGGUCCGGAAGGUCAUGGGUUCGAACCCCAUCAGUCACCCCA